RNAcentral lists this ribosomal RNA (384 nucleotides) under Klebsiella pneumoniae. RNAcentral's name for it is "bacterial SSU rRNA". It matches the Rfam family "Bacterial small subunit ribosomal RNA", at positions 327 to 703 of the family's 1533-position model. The record is from RNAcentral. Lineage: Bacteria; Pseudomonadati; Pseudomonadota; Gammaproteobacteria; Enterobacterales; Enterobacteriaceae.
CGGUCCAGACUCCUACGGGAGGCAGCAGUGGGGAAUAUUGCACAAUGGGCGCAAGCCUGAUGCAGCCAUGCCGCGUGUGUGAAGAAGGCCUUCGGGUUGUAAAGCACUUUCAGCGGGGAGGAAGGCGGUGAGGUUAAUAACCUCAUCGAUUGACGUUACCCGCAGAAGAAGCACCGGCUAACUCCGUGCCAGCAGCCGCGGUAAUACGGAGGGUGCAAGCGUUAAUCGGAAUUACUGGGCGUAAAGCGCACGCAGGCGGUCUGUCAAGUCGGAUGUGAAAUCCCCGGGCUUAACCUGGGAACUGCAUUCGAAACUGGCAGGCUAGAGUCUUGUAGAGGGGGGUAGAAUUCCAGGUGUAGCGGUGAAAUGCGUAGAGAUCUGGAG